GUAAUUGUAAGGGUUUUGAAACAUUCCCUAACUUGCAUGGCAUGCAGGGGGUCAGCGGUUCGAAUCCGCUUGGCUCCA
RNAcentral lists this transfer RNA (78 nucleotides) under Prochlorococcus marinus CUG1434. RNAcentral's name for it is "tRNA-Ser". The record is from RNAcentral. Lineage: Bacteria; Bacillati; Cyanobacteriota; Cyanophyceae; Synechococcales; Prochlorococcaceae.